ACAGUGCAAACAACUUCACGCAUAUUGGUAAGAACAGGGAAACACCCAAUUUGAUGGACACAUUGCACACAAGCAGGGAAGAACAAGGCAAUUAAUUUAUUCAAGUAGCGUUCUAAAACAGAGAACUUACCUCGCACUCUAGAACACCCAACUCAAUGGAAGCCGAGCGACACCGCGAGCUCUCAACCCAACAGUCAAUCUCGGGCUUCACCGGAAAGACCUCC
This 224-nucleotide long non-coding RNA is filed under the name Vigna radiata. Its description in RNAcentral is "long non-coding RNA (VRAD_LNC017434)". Lineage: Eukaryota; Viridiplantae; Streptophyta; Magnoliopsida; Fabales; Fabaceae. The record is from RNAcentral.